Molecule: ribosomal RNA, 488 nt
Filed under: uncultured bacterium
Lineage: Bacteria
Description: bacterial SSU rRNA
Rfam family: Bacterial small subunit ribosomal RNA
Source: RNAcentral
CUCAGAUUGAACGCUGGCGGCAGGCCUAACACAUGCAAGUCGAGCGGUAACAGGAAUUAGCUUGCUAAUUUGCUGACGAGCGGCGGACGGGUGAGUAAUGCCUAGGGAACUGCCCAGUCGAGGGGGAUAACAGUUGGAAACGACUGCUAAUACCGCAUACGCCCUACGGGGGAAAAGAGGGGACCUUCGGGCCUUCUGCGAUUGGAUGUACCUAGGUGGGAUUAGCUAGUUGGUGAGGUAAUGGCUCACCAAGGCGACGAUCCCUAGCUGUUCUGAGAGGAUGAUCAGCCACACUGGGACUGAGACACGGCCCAGACUCCUACGGGAGGCAGCAGUGGGGAAUAUUGCACAAUGGGCGCAAGCCUGAUGCAGCCAUGCCGCGUGUGUGAAGAAGGCCUUCGGGUUGUAAAGCACUUUCAGCGAGGAGGAAAGCUUAAGCGUUAAUAGCGUUUAGGUGUGACGUUACUCGCAGAAGAAGGACCGGAGUU